GGCCUUUUGAUUAUAAUUUAAGGUCGGGCCUGCCCAAUGAAAAAUUUAAUGGCCGCGGUAUAUUAACUGUGCAAAGGUAGCAUAAUCAUUAGUUUUUUAAUUGAAAGCUGGAAUGAAGGGUUUAAUGAAAAAAGUUCUGUCUCUAUUUAAAUUUAUUAGAAUUUUAUUUUUAAGUUAAAAAGCUUAAAUAAUUAUUGAAGACGAGAAGACCCUAUAGAGUUUUAUAUUUUUAGAGAUUACUGUAUUUGGUGAAUUUUAGCUUAAUUUUUGAAAAUAUUUAGUUGGGGUGAUUGAAAAAUUGAAAGAACUUUUUUUUAUUGGAACAUAAAUGUAUGAGUAUAUGAUCCUUUUUUUAGAUUAAAAGAGCAAAUUACCUUAGGGAUAACAGCGUAAUUUUUUUUAGAGUUCUUAUCGAAAAAAAAGAUUGCGACCUCGAUGUUGGAUUAAAAUAAGUUUUUGGCGCAAAAGCUAAAAAACUAGGUCUGUUCGACCUUUGAAUUUUUACAUGAUCUGAGUUUAGACCGGUUUGAG
RNAcentral lists this ribosomal RNA (531 nucleotides) under Acalles saxicola. RNAcentral describes it as "partial 16S ribosomal RNA". It matches the Rfam family "Bacterial large subunit ribosomal RNA", at positions 1860 to 2625 of the family's 2925-position model. The record is from RNAcentral. Lineage: Eukaryota; Metazoa; Arthropoda; Insecta; Coleoptera; Curculionidae.